UCGGGAAUUUUGGGCAAUGGGCGAAAGCCUGACCCAGCAACGCCGCGUGAAGGAUGAAGUAUUUCGGUAUGUAAACUUCGGAAGAAUAGGAAGAAUAAAUGACGGUACUAUUUAUAAGGUCCGGCUAACUACGUGCCAGCAGCCGCGGUAAUACGUAGGGACCAAGCGUUGUUCGGAUUUACUGGGCGUAAGGGCGCGUAGGCGGCAAUUCAAGUCAUCUGUGAAAUCUCCGGGCUUAACUCGGAACGGUCAGAUGAUACUGCUUUGCUAGAGUGCAGAAGGGGCAAUCGGAAUUCUUGGUGUAGCGGUGAAAUGCGUAGAUAUCAAGAGGAACACCUGAGGUGAAGACGGGUUGCUGGGCUGACACUGACGCUGAGGCGCGAAAGCCAGGGGAGCAAACGGGAUUAGAUACCCCCGUAGUCCCUGAGCGGGCUGGCAAGGCGCAU
This 446-nucleotide ribosomal RNA is filed under the name uncultured bacterium. Its description in RNAcentral is "bacterial SSU rRNA". It matches the Rfam family "Bacterial small subunit ribosomal RNA", at positions 355 to 825 of the family's 1533-position model. The record is from RNAcentral.